RNAcentral lists this ribosomal RNA (494 nucleotides) under uncultured bacterium. Its description in RNAcentral is "bacterial SSU rRNA". It matches the Rfam family "Bacterial small subunit ribosomal RNA", at positions 21 to 507 of the family's 1533-position model. The record is from RNAcentral.
GGCUCAGGAUGAACGCUAGCGGCAGGCCUAAUACAUGCAAGUCGAACGAUACCAGAGAGCUUGCUUUCUGGGAAAGUGGCGCACGGGUGCGUAACGCGUAUGCAACCUACCUUAAUCAGGGGGAUAGCCUCUCGAAAGAGAGAUUAACACCGCAUAAAAUCACACUUCGGCAUCGAAGAAUGAUCAAAUAUUUAUAGGAUUAAGAUGGGCAUGCGUGACAUUAGCUAGUUGGUAAGGUAACGGCUUACCAAGGCUACGAUGUCUAGGGGUCCUGAGAGGGAGAUCCCCCACACUGGUACUGAGACACGGACCAGACUCCUACGGGAGGCAGCAGUGGGGAAUUUUGGACAAUGGGCGCAAGCCUGAUCCAGCCAUGCCGCGUGCGGGAAGAAGGCCUUCGGGUUGUAAACCGCUUUUGUCAGGGAAGAAAUCUUCUGGGCUAAUACCUCGGGAGGAUGACGGUACCUGAAGAAUAAGCACCGGCUAACUACGUG